GCCCGGGUGGCGGAAUGGCAGACGCUGGGGACUUAAAAUCCCCUGGCCGAAAGGCCGUGCCGGUUCGAGUCCGGUCCCGGGCACCA
This 86-nucleotide transfer RNA is filed under the name Verrucomicrobiota bacterium. Its description in RNAcentral is "tRNA-Leu". It matches the Rfam family "tRNA". From Rfam's summary of the family: Transfer RNA (tRNA) molecules are approximately 80 nucleotides in length. Their secondary structure includes four short double-helical elements and three loops (D, anti-codon, and T loops). The record is from RNAcentral. Lineage: Bacteria; Pseudomonadati; Verrucomicrobiota.